Molecule: ribosomal RNA, 234 nt
Filed under: uncultured Lactobacillus sp.
Lineage: Bacteria; Bacillati; Bacillota; Bacilli; Lactobacillales; Lactobacillaceae
Description: partial 16S ribosomal RNA
Rfam family: Bacterial small subunit ribosomal RNA
Source: RNAcentral
GCCCAAGAGAUCGGGAUAACACCUGGAAACAGAUGCUAAUACCGGAUAACAACAGAUGAUGCCUAUCAACUGUUUAAAAGAUGGUUCUGCUAUCACUCUUGGAUGGACCUGCGGUGCAUUAGCUAGUUGGUAGGGUAACGGCCUGCCAAGGCGAUGAUGCAUAGCCGAGUUGAGAGACUGAUCGGCCACAUUGGGACUGAGACACGGCCCAAACUCCUACGGGAGGCAGCAGAA